GACGAACGCUGGCGGCGUGCCUAAUACAUGCAAGUCGAACGCAGUGGGGACGGGUGUGUAACACGUGGGUAACCUCCCAUCAGAGGGGAUAACACUUGGAAAAAGGUGCUAAACCGAUACUGAUGGAUGGUACCGCGGUGCAUUAGCUAGUUGGUGAGGUAACGGCUCACCAAGGCCACGAUGGAUAGCUGAUCUGAGAGGGUGUACGGCGACACUGGGACUGAGACACGGCCCAGACUCCUACGGGAGGCAGCAGUAGGGAAUCUUCGGCAAUGGGCGAAAGUCUGACCGAGCCAGGCCGCGUGAGUGAAGAAGGUUUUCGGAUCGUAAAACUCUGUUGUUAGAGAAGCGGUAUCUAACCAGAAAGCAACGGCUAACUACGUGCCAGCAGCCGCGGUAAUAC
This 403-nucleotide ribosomal RNA is filed under the name uncultured bacterium. Its description in RNAcentral is "partial 16S ribosomal RNA". It matches the Rfam family "Bacterial small subunit ribosomal RNA", at positions 28 to 526 of the family's 1533-position model. The record is from RNAcentral.